CAGUGUUACAGCUCUUUUAGAAUUUGUCUAGCAGGUCUUCCGGUCUCUACCGGAAGCACCCCC
This is a small nuclear RNA of Erinaceus europaeus (western European hedgehog), 63 nucleotides long. Its record names the gene U7. It matches the Rfam family "U7 small nuclear RNA". Rfam says of the family: Animal histone pre-mRNAs are spliced by a different mechanism than nuclear pre-mRNAs and self-splicing introns. This processing involves the U7 snRNP, which contains only one RNA species: U7. NCBI's taxonomy places the organism in Eukaryota, Metazoa, Chordata, Mammalia, Eulipotyphla, Erinaceidae. The record is from Ensembl.